CCUACGGGAGGCUGCAGUGGGGAAUAUUGGGCAAUGGGCGCAAGCCUGACCCAGCAACGCCGCGUGAAGGAAGAAGGCUUUCGGGUUGUAAACUUCUUUUCUCAGGGACGAAGCAAGUGACGGUACAUGAGGAAUAAGCCACGGCUAACUACGUGCCAGCAGCCGCGGUAAUACGUAGGUGGCAAGCGUUAUACGGAUUUACUGGGGGUAAAGGGCGUGUAGGCGGGACUGCAAGUCAGAUGUGAAAACCAUGGGCUCAACCUAUGGCCUGCAUUUGAACAUGUAGUUCUUGAGUACUGGAGAGGCAGACGGAAUUCCGAGUGUAGCGGUGAAAUGCGUAGAUAUUAGGAGGAACACCAGUGGCGAAGGCGGUCUGCUGGACAGCAACUGACGCUGAGGCGCGAAAGCGUGGGGAGCAAACAGGAUUAGAUACCCCUGUAGUC
RNAcentral lists this ribosomal RNA (443 nucleotides) under uncultured bacterium. RNAcentral describes it as "partial 16S ribosomal RNA". It matches the Rfam family "Bacterial small subunit ribosomal RNA", at positions 338 to 795 of the family's 1533-position model. The record is from RNAcentral.